ACUUCUUUUAUCCAAGGAAAAGAUCUGACGGUACCUGAUGAAUAAGCCACGGCUAUUCGUGCAGCAGCCGCGUAUACGGGAAGUGCAAGCGUUAUCCGGAAUUAUUGGGCCGUAAAGCGUCCCGCAGGCGGCCCUUCAAGUCUGCUGUUAAAAAGUGGGAGCUUAACUCCAUCAUGGCAGUGGAAACUGUUGGGCUUGAGUGUGGUAGGGGCAGAGGGAAUUCCCGGUGUAGCGGUGAAAUGCGUAGAUAUCGGGAAGAACACCAGUGGCGAAGGCGCUCUGCUGGGCCAUCACUGACGCUCAUGGACGAAAGCCAGGGGAGCGAAAGGGAUUAGAUACCCCCUGUAGUCCUGGCCGUAAACGAUGAACACUAGGUGUCGGGGGAAUCGACCCCCUCGGUGUCGUAGCCAACGCGUUAAGUGUUCCGCCUGGGGAGUACGCACGCAAGUGUGAAACUCAAAGGAAUUGACGGGGGCCCGCACAAGCGGUGGAGUAUGUGGUUUAAUUCGAUGCAACGCGAAGAACCUUACCAGGGUUUGACAUCCUGCGAAUCUCUUGGAAACAGGAGAGUGCCUUCGGGAACGCAGUGACAGGUGGUGCAUGGCUGUCGUCAGCUCGUGUCGUGAGAUGUUGGGUUAAGUCCCGCAACGAGCGCAACCCACGUCUUUAGUUGCCAGCAUUUAGUUGGGCACUCUAGAGAGACUGCCGGUGAUAAACCGGAGGAAGGUGUGGAUGACGUCAAGUCAUCAUGCCCCUUACAUCCUGGGCUACACACGUACUACAAUGCUACGGACAAAGGGCAGCAAGUUCGCGAGGACAAGCAAAUCCCAUAAACCGUGGCUCAGUUCAGAUCGUAGGCUGCAACUCGCCUACGUGAAGGCGGAAUCGCUAGUAAUCGCAGGUCAGCAUACUGCGGUGAAUACGUUCCCGGGCCUUGUACACACCGCCCGUCGCACCAUGGAAGUUGGCCACGCCCGAAGCCGUUACUCCAACCCUUGUGGAGGA
This 1005-nucleotide ribosomal RNA is filed under the name uncultured bacterium. RNAcentral describes it as "bacterial SSU rRNA". It matches the Rfam family "Bacterial small subunit ribosomal RNA", at positions 450 to 1450 of the family's 1533-position model. The record is from RNAcentral.